UCCUGGUUUCCCAGGCAGUUCUAUCAGAGUGCUUACUAAAAAGUAGUGGCAACUGACAGCAGGGGUUGCGCUCGUUAGAGGACUUAACCCAACAUCUCACGACACGAGCUGACGACAGCCAUGCAGCACCUGUGAUCUUGUCUUGACCGAAGCCAAGAAGAGUACGUUUCUGUACCUGUCAAGAACAUGUCAAGCCUAGGUAAGGUUCCUCGCGUAGUGUCGAAUUAAACCACAUGUUCCACCGCUUGUGCGGACCCCCGUCAAUUCCUUUGAGUUUUAAUCUUGCGAUCGUAGUUCCCAGGCGAAUCACUUAACGCGUUAGCUUCGACACUGAUCCGGCAGAGCCAGACCAACGUCCAGUGAUCAUCGUUUACAGCGUGGACUAC
This 386-nucleotide unclassified non-coding RNA is filed under the name uncultured bacterium. RNAcentral's name for it is "contains 16S-23S intergenic spacer region". The record is from RNAcentral.